RNAcentral lists this ribosomal RNA (197 nucleotides) under uncultured bacterium. Its description in RNAcentral is "partial 16S ribosomal RNA". It matches the Rfam family "Bacterial small subunit ribosomal RNA", at positions 328 to 539 of the family's 1533-position model. The record is from RNAcentral.
ACGCUCGACACCUACGGAGGCAGCAGUGGGGAAUAUUGCACAAUGGGGGAAACCCUGAUGCAGCGACGCCGCGUGAGCGAAGAAGUAUUUCGGUAUGUAAAGCUCUAUCAGCAGGGAAGAAACUGACGGUACCUGACUAAGAAGCACCGGCUAAAUACGUGCCAGCAGCUGCGUAAUCUGAGGCGGGCUGGCAAGGC